Molecule: ribosomal RNA, 434 nt
Filed under: uncultured rumen bacterium
Lineage: Bacteria
Description: bacterial SSU rRNA
Rfam family: Bacterial small subunit ribosomal RNA
Source: RNAcentral
AACGCGAAGAACCUUACCUGGAUUUGACAUGGAGAGGCUACCGGUAGAAAUACCGGGUCCCGCAAGGGCCUUUUCACAGGUGCUGCAUGGCUGUCGUCAGCUCGUGCCGUGAGGUGUUCGGUUAAGUCCGGCAACGAGCGCAACCCACGUUAGUAGUUGCCAGCAGGUAAAGCUGGGCACUCUACUGAUACUGCCCGUGUUAAGCGGGAGGAAGGAGUGGAUGAUGUCAAGUCCGUAUGGCCUUUAUAUCCAGGGCUGCACACGUGCUACAAUGGCUGCUACAGAGGGAAGCGAAAUCGCGAGAUGGAGCAGAUCCGUAAAAACAGCCCUAGUUCGGAUUGCAGGCUGCAACUCGCCUGCAUGAAGCCGGAAUCGCUAGUAAAGGCGUAUCAGCCACGACGCCUUGAAUACGUUCCCGGGUCUUGUACACACCG